GAUGAACGCUAGCUACAGGCUUAACACAUGCAAGUCGCGGGGCAGCAUGGGGGUUGCUUGCAAUCCCCGAUGGCGACCGGCGCACGGGUGAGUAACGCGUAUCCAACCUGCCCUUCACCACGGGAUAACCCGGCGAAAGUCGGACUAAUACCGUAUGUUGUCCAUUGGCGGCAUCCGAUUUGGACGAAAGGUUUGGCGGUGAAGGAUGGGGAUGCGUCCGAUUAGCUGGACGGCGGGGUGACGGCCCACCGUGGCGACGAUCGGUAGGGGUUCUGAGAGGAAGGUCCCCCACACUGGAACUGAGACACGGUCCAGACUCCUACGGGAGGCAGCAGUGAGGAAUAUUGGUCAAUGGGCGUAAGCCUGAACCAGCCAAGUAGCGUGCAGGAUGACGGCCCUAUGGGUUGUAAACUGCUUUUAUGCGGGGAUAAAGUGGCCCACGUGUGGGUUUUUGCAGGUACCGCAUGAAUAAGGACCGGCUAAUUCCGUG
This 490-nucleotide ribosomal RNA is filed under the name uncultured bacterium. Its description in RNAcentral is "partial 16S ribosomal RNA". It matches the Rfam family "Bacterial small subunit ribosomal RNA", at positions 28 to 507 of the family's 1533-position model. The record is from RNAcentral.